AACGCACAUUGCGCCCCUUGGUAUUCCAUGGGGCAUGCCUGUUCGAGCGUCAUUUGUACCUUCAAGCUCUGCUUGGUGUUGGGUGUUUGUCUCCUGUAGACUCGCCUUAAAACAAUUGGCAGCCGGCGUAUUGAUUUCGGAGCGCAGUACAUCUCGCGCUUUGCACUCAUAACGACGACAUCCAAAAGUACAUUUUUACACGCUUGACCUCGGAUCAGGUAGGGAUACCCGCUGAACUUAA
This 241-nucleotide unclassified non-coding RNA is filed under the name uncultured Pleosporales. RNAcentral's name for it is "sequence contains 5.8S rRNA gene, ITS2, 28S rRNA gene". The record is from RNAcentral. Lineage: Eukaryota; Fungi; Ascomycota; Dothideomycetes; Pleosporales.